Molecule: ribosomal RNA, 492 nt
Filed under: uncultured bacterium
Lineage: Bacteria
Description: partial 16S ribosomal RNA
Rfam family: Bacterial small subunit ribosomal RNA
Source: RNAcentral
AGUGAAUGCUGGCGGUAGGCCUAACACAUGCAAGUCGAACGGCAGCACAGUAAGAGCUUGCUCUUACGGGUGGCGAGUGGCGGACGGGUGAGGAAUACAUCGGAAUCUACUUUUUCGUGGGGGAUAACGUAGGGAAACUUACGCUAAUACCGCAUACGACCUACGGGUGAAAGCAGGGGAUCUUCGGACCUUGCGCGAUUGAAUGAGCCGAUGUCGGAUUAGCUAGUUGGCGGGGUAAAGGCCCACCAAGGCGACGAUCCGUAGCUGGUCUGAGAGGAUGAUCAGCCACACUGGAACUGAGACACGGUCCAGACUCCUACGGGAGGCAGCAGUGGGGAAUAUUGGACAAUGGGCGCAAGCCUGAUCCAGCCAUACCGCGUGGGUGAAGAAGGCCUUCGGGUUGUAAAGCCCUUUUGUUGGGAAAGAAAAGCAGCAGGUUAAUACCCCGCUGUCCUGACGGUACCCAAAGAAUAAGCACCGGCUAACUUCGUG